This 405-nucleotide ribosomal RNA is filed under the name bacterium. RNAcentral's name for it is "partial 16S ribosomal RNA". It matches the Rfam family "Bacterial small subunit ribosomal RNA", at positions 355 to 776 of the family's 1533-position model. The record is from RNAcentral.
UAAGGAAUAUUGCGCAAUGGGGGAAACCCUGACGCAGCAACGCCGCGUGGAGGAUGACACUUUUCGGAGCGUACACUCCUUUUAUCAGGAAAGAAUAAUGACGGUACCUGAUGAAUAAGCACCGGCUAACUCCGUGCCAGCAGCCGCGGUAAUACGGGGGGUGCGAGCGUUACUCGGAAUCACUGGGCGUAAAGGACGCGUAGGCGGAUUAUCAAGUCUUUUGUGAAAUCUAGUGGCUUAACCACUAAACUGCUUAGGAAACUGAUAGUCUAGAGUAGGGGAGAGGUAGAUGGAAUUCUUGGUGUAGGGGUAAAAUCCGUAGAGAUCAAGAAGAAUACCCAUUGCGAAAGCGAUCUGCUGGAACCUAACUGACGCUGAGGCGUGAAAGCGUGGGUAGCAAACAGG